Molecule: long non-coding RNA, 5365 nt
Organism: Amphiprion ocellaris (clown anemonefish)
Lineage: Eukaryota; Metazoa; Chordata; Actinopteri; Pomacentridae
Exons: 4
Source: RefSeq, a predicted model, not a curated record
UGGUCAGACCAUAGACAGAUACAGAAGACAGCUCGCUAGCGGAUCUAGUCUGCUAUGUAUAUCUAUGGUCGGCACGUCUGGUAACGUCUCUGGCUGCUGUUGACCUUAUUUUUGGAGUAAAACACGGUGGAAGCUGAAUUAGUGAGGAUGACUCCUGCUCCUGUCAUCUCUAAGCUCCUCACACAUCUUUACCUGCACAUGAGGAAAAUCACUCCUGUAGAAUGCAGAUGUUCAGAGGGAGAUGAUGCCACAUCUGGUCCAGCUGAUGGAAGGUCUUGAAGUUCUCUGACUGGCCUGGACUGAAGAUGGUCCUCUCACUGGAUUUAAGGUUCAGAUGCUCAGUAACAAACUCCACCAAUGUGCCAACAGGGAAGCUUUAGGUUUAUUAAAUGUUGCUAUGAAGGUUUCGCUGUUUUUCUUUGUGAAUGCAAUGUGCUCCAACUGAAACUUGAAUUAGAACUUAGAAGUAAAUCCUUCCAUCUGAAAGGAUUUAGUUGCAUUAAUAACCUCAUAACAUUCCAAUUUUUCUUCCAGUCUUGGUUGGAAAUAGAAUCUCUGUAUUGAUUCAGGUAAAAACUGAACUUCAUAGCAUGUUGAAGCAAAACAACCAGAGGAAAACUGUGAUGGUGUUGGAUUGUCAGACCAUAAUGUUGCAGCUCAAAGCAGCUUUUCUAGCUCAGUUCAUUCUGACAUUCAGCUAUGAAUCAACACAGCAGAUGGUGAUCCAUGCUGUGGAAAUCUCACAUCUCCUGAUUUAAUGGAGCUGCUUUGCACUUUUUACACGGUUUACUCACCAACACUUUAUUUAAUAAAAGUCCCAUCUAGUUUUUAUGAGGAAUGUGAGGUUUUAAUUUCUCUGUGAAUAACUGCAGUCUAAUGCAACAGCUGGAGUUGUAACAUCUGUCCUGAUAUUGAUCAUGAAGUAUUGAUCAGAAUACUUAUGGUCAGCAGUCAUCCCUGAAGUUUUACAUUAAAAGCUUUACUUGUGUUGUGAACUUUGGUAAGAAGCAGAAACUUCAGCGUUGCCAUGGAUACAUGAGUGUUAAAUUCUGUCCAUGUUUCCAUUUUGGGAAAUUCAGUCCAGCAGAUGAGUUUGUUUUUACUUCCAGCUACCAUUCAGUCUGAGAUAUUAAGAAUAAAUAAAUGGGCAUAAUGUGGAAAUGAACAGAUUUUAUUUUUAUUUAUUCCUACAGGUGAUGCAGUUAAAGUUCCAGAAUGUGGAGGAAUUUAGUCUCACGAUGACAGACAAUAAAUAUUAUCUGAAAGUCGGGUUAUUGUUUAUCAGUACAAUACAAAAAGAUUCAUGUUAGAAAUAUUCCAGUUAAGACUCUAGAAUAUCAUGAUUUAUGUAACUUUACCUCAGUAAUAUCAAUGUUCAGGUUAAGAUUGUGCAGUGAUAUUUAUUAUGUAAGUUUAGCUGAUUAAAGUUUAUGACUCUGCACUACAAUGUUAUUUAUUUAAAUUUACAUCAUUAUUAUAUUUAGGGUCAGACCCUACAGUAUUGAGAUUAAGAGAUCAAAUAUUCUAUAAAAUGUAAAUACACUGAACUCAUUUGGAUAUAUUUAAGUGAGACUCUACAAUAUUAUUUGACACAAAUCUGUAAAUCAAAAUUUUAAUCAUUUUUACGCCAAACAUUUACUGGACUGAUUUAAAUAUUAAAAUCACUCUUUUCUAAUCCUCUGCUGUACGUUCAAACCUGAGGCCUUAAAUAGAAACACACAAGUAUCUGUUUGAAGGAACUUCUGCAGAGUCCUGGUUCCAGAACAUGAUGAUAGAAUUAUAGACAAACUUUAACAAAAGCUGCCUGAGAGUUUACAGGUUUUUAUGUUAGAUUUCCUCAGUAAUUUAAUGACAGUUAUCAGCAAAAAUCAAGUGUUCAUUUGAUGAACUUCAUUUCCUAAAACAUCCAGAAUUGGAGCUCAUAUCUUUGACAGCUGUAAAGUUUCUGCUCCUUCAAAGUUCACAACACAAUGAAUUAAUUCCUAAAACACUCUCAAUGCUGGAGAGUGUUUGAUGCUGAAGCAGUGACCAGUUUUUCUGUUUCUUCUCUGGAGAUGCACAAUGAGGGACGUCUGCAGAGACUGAGAAAGAGUCUCACCACAUCCUGACAUGAGGAAAAAGACUUUAUUGAAGACUACAAUGAGAAAAACUAUCAGACAGCAGACGGCUGCAUUCAAGGUGAGCUCUGAACAUUUGAUCUGGAACAGGAAUUCAAUCACGGCAGCAUGAGCUUCAUUUCAGUCUGUAGCUGCUGAAUUCAUGGAUGAAUCAUCUGGCACUAGAGAAGACCAUCAAACAUCCACGUCAGCUGAUGGAGGUCCAAGAGUCUCACCCAACAAACAACCUACAGAGUGAAGACCUCAAAUCUGAUUGGACGGCCUCCUAUUCAGCCACAUUUUAGGCUGUUAGAUUGUUCCAGAUAAGACAAGUACAAGAUUCUUCAGAGCCGUUCUACCACGAGCCUGACAGGAAGAACUCCAACAGCUACUGAAUGUUCCUGUGGUUCCCUCAAGGCUACAGGAGGAGCCCUACGAGGACGAGCCGGUCCACCUGAUGGUGGCCAGUCGCUGCUGUUCAAAGCCAACACCGACUACGUGGACUUCUACUGGACCACACGGAGGCCUUCAAACCGGACCAACAAGUUCAGCGACUCCCCGACUCGUGGGUCUGAGGACGUCGCCGAGCCUCGGCCCAGCCGGCCUCCUGUCUGUGGAUGUUUGAGUGCUGAGAGGUUUAUGGAUCCAUGUGAAUGUUCUGUGUUGAAACAGCAGCUUUGGACUCAGUAACGCCGGGAAAAACCAAGAGCUCCUUUAUUUGUGACUUCCACUAAAAAAACUGAUGAAAAUAAGUUUGCCAGGGUUCUGACUGAUAACAGAUUAUUAAAUAAUGAAAAUAAUUGUUUAAAGAUUCCUUUAAACGAUCCUUUUAGGUCUACAUUUCCUUUACACUGACUUCUUGGUAUAUGUACAAGUAUUUUGGGUGGAAUAUACCAUUAAGCCCAAUGUUCAAGGGUUCUUCUGGGAAUAUACCAUUAAAUGAAACCUUUUAGGUAAAUGUUCCAGGAUGUUGGGUAGAAUAUACCAUCAGAUCAACCUUUUAGGUCUACAUUGGAAGAUUUUAGAGUAGAAUAUUACUCCAAACCAUCCUUUAGGUCUACAUUUAAGGUGGAAUACUCCUUUACACCAAGAUUUUUUUGGUCUACAUUGAAGGAUUUCAGGUGGAAUAUUCCUUUGAACUUUUUAAAUUUAUGUUCAAAGAUGUUGGAUGGAAUAUACCAUCAGACCAACCUCCAAGGUCUACAGUAGUGAAUUUUAGGUGGAAUAUACCAUUAAACUCACCUUUUAGGUCGACAUUGGAGGAUUUUAGGAUGGUAUAUUCUUCCAAACCAACUUCUCAGGUCUACAUUUCAGGUGGAAUAUUCCUCCAUACUAACUUUUUUGGUCUACAUUGAAGGAUUUUUUCUAAACCACCCUUUCGGGUCUUGUAGGUGGAAUACAUCCUGAAACCAACCUUUUAGGUCAACAUUCAAAGAUUUAAGGUGGAAUAUUCCUUUAAACCAACCUAAAUUUCAUGUUUUGAUCAUUAUCAAGUGAGAAACCUCAAUCCAGACUCCUCAUAAUGACAUUUGAGAUUUAUGCUGCUGUUAUUUGUUUAGUCCAGACUAAAUGACAGAAGUCCACAACUGUAAUUUUAUUUCAGGACUCGGUUAUUAAAUGUCAAAACAAUCCAUGUGACUCUAAAAACUCAACAACUUGACAAACUCUAAGAUUAAACUCUCCACAAGGAUACAAAACAAGUUGAACUUCUACAUGAGAGCUUUAAUUAUUCUUCAUCUACUUCCUGAAAAGUUUGGUCAAUAAAAAAGACAAAAACUAAUAUUUUCAGCUGAAGUAAAGACAGACUUUGUGAUUUUUCUGCUCACAUGUUGUGUUGUUUUAAACUUACUCUUUCAAAUAAAUAGCCGCCUAGCCUGGAAACCAGCGUUUGUCCUGUUUUUGUGUUGCUCCUCGGCGACCCUAGACAGCCGGGUCAGAAUGUUUUUUGAGCAACACACCAUACUAUGACGUUUUUACAAUGAUGGUUCUACUAUGGAACCAGUUUGACAUGUUCAGGCGUCCUUUGUGUAAAAACUCAGAGAUUUCAGGUAUCAGAAGGUGGUUUUCAACUUUCUUUAUUAACUUUCUGCUUCAACUUUAAACUAAAUUUCCUUGACUAACCCAGCCCUCUGGACUUCCAGGAAGCUGUGUUCCUAUUGGCUGUCCAGGUGGCUGCUUGGUGUUAUCAGGAACACCUGAGCAGCUCAGUGUCUUCCUGCUUUAUUUAGCUGCAGACAAACAUUUCCUCUGCUUCUCUUCACCACUAACCGGGUUUGGUUCCGUUGCUUUAGUUUGUUUUUUAGGCGUUGGCUUGCAGCUUCCAGCAGUAAAAUCGUUUUUAAUGUGUUUCUUGGUGUGUUUUAGGGCUUUGUACUGGAUAGUUGUCUUGGUAAAGGUGGUUCUUUAGCCACAGUUAGCACAUGGUGCUAAUGUGUGCAGUGAUUAGUGGAUUUGGUGCAGCUGAGUUGUGUCUUUAUCUUGGCUGUAGUGAGUCUUCAGAGGUUUUUGGUCAGACACAUUCUGUAUUCUUGUUUGUGAACCAGCGUUGGUUGUCCAGAAGGUAAGAGUUUCUGUCCUGAUUCUCUGUUCUCAGAGGUUCUCUGGUAGGCUGCAGGAGACUUUAGCGUUUGGGUUGUGCUAGUUUGGUUUUUGUAUGGUUUCAUUUGGACGACUAUCUUGAGGCCCCUCCAUGUGGUUUAGUGAGGUUUUCUGGAGCAGUUCUACAAAGCAACCUGCAGCAGAAGAGACUUUGAGUGUUUUUCGGAAGUUCUGGAGACCAGACUUUAGAGCAGCAGAAACAUUUGUCAGCAGUUUGAGCAGGAGAAGGUGAGCUUCAGAGUAGAAAUGAGGCAGAAACCUUCUUGACUCGUGUGGUGAGGUCCUGUACCAAGAGUUUGAGCAGGUUGUGAAGAGUCUGUAGUUCUUUGGUCUGAAAGCACAAGAAGAGUCGACUCAUUAAAGCAGAAAACAGGAGAUAUUGUUGGUUCUUCUGUUGCUCUGCAGUUUCCUUAGACUGAAUAUCAAGUUUCUAUUUUAAAUGAUUUCCCAUGUGAGCCCAAGAAGACUUCAAUAAACUCCCUCCAUCCCCUGGACACAACAUAUUUUAUUGCCAUGUUAAGUCUUUUUUUUUUUUUUUUUUUUUUUUUUUUAAUAAAUGUUUUUGAGUUUUAAUCAUAGUUUUAGCAUAGUUUUUUCUCUUUGCUUGUUUAGUUUUGUUGUUUGUGAGAAAGGUGCUAAACAAAUAAAGUUGAAUUGAUAAACUGAAUAAU